RNAcentral lists this long non-coding RNA (2579 nucleotides) under Marmota monax (woodchuck). The record is from RNAcentral. Lineage: Eukaryota; Metazoa; Chordata; Mammalia; Rodentia; Sciuridae.
AAAUGAUGAGUGCUUUGAUUUGGUUAGUGUUUGUUACAAGUUUUUGGUUUUUUUUUUUUUAACCAAGUGUUAUCCAUGUUUAUAAAAGGAAGGAUUCGGGGGGUCAAUUGUAUCAAUCAAUGAAAAGACUUCUAAACUUCUAAACUUGUAAAGACACUUUCAAUCAUUCUGGAUCUUCACAAUGGCUAAUGUUGUGCUAGUGAACAAUGUUUACAUGUUAUUAUGUUUGUACAGUUACAAUACACAGAACACUUUGAUGGAGUGACAAGAUUGCUCGAUCCUGGGUCCCAACCAACCAUCAGUUUACUCACCACAAUCAUUGGUUUCUGGUACCCUUCCUAGGGUGGCCUAGGAAGUUAGAGAAAGGUUGAAAAAGAAAAAAGAAAAAUUUCAUUCUUAAGUGACUUUCAAUGUAAUUAAAGAUAAGUAAUAUAAUAGAAAGUGCAAAUACCUUGUGGACUGAGAUUUUAAUUUUUUUGCCAGAUAGAUAGGCCAGUAGAUUUUUAGAUGAAAUAAACUAUGCUACAUCACCACCACCACCACCACCACUGUUGCUUUCUAGCCCUUAGUGGUUGAUUCAACACAAAGGUUGAAUAUCUUUUCCAAUGUAGAACCAAAUUUGAACUUAAUUAUUAAGAAAAAAAUGGAAAAGCUUUAUUUUUUAUUUAGACUUAAGUAUUAAAGAAAUCACAGUCAAAAACUUUGCCUAAAACAUUUUCAGACCUGCUCUUUUCUCAGUAAUCCAGACUCAAGCAGAAUCUGACAUCAUUAUAUAUGAGAGCAUUCCACCCAAUUUUUUUGAUACCUUCAUUUUUUAAAUUUCAUUUGGAUAAUUCAUUCCUCCUCUUAAAGAAAACAUUUUAAUUGACUUAGAACUCUCUCUUUUCCCUACAAUGGAUGCAUCUUUGUAAAUGGUAAACUUUGCUACUGAAAGGACAUCACUAAGCUUCUUUUCAUAUCAUUUAGGUCUGAACUUAAUUCUCAGUAAUUUAUCUUGACAUUUUUACUUUGAAUAGAAAUAUACAUGGGAAAAUAUAUACUAGUGAAGUUUGUAGUAUUUACGAUUAUAUUAUCUCUGUUUAGAAUAACUUUUAUUAAAACUUCUAAAAGACACUUUCAAUCAUUCUGGAUCUUCACAAUGGCUAAUUUUGUGCUAGUGAACAAUGUUUACAAGCUAAUAUGUUUGUACAGUUACAUGUUUUUCUUUAUGAGUAGCUCCUGGACAGAGCCAAAAGUUCAUUUUUCAUGAGUGCAGAGUCUCUGGAAGAUUCUAGGAGAGUCACAGUUUUCAGGGAUUGGAUCUGUAUAUUGUUUGGAGCAAGGGGCCAUCUUGUGUUUACAUGCAGUGAUGUGUGUAUUUGUGUCUGUAUGUACAGUGGUAAAACUGGACAACUUAUUAACGUGUGUAUUACUCUACCCCCACCCCAAAUUUAGUUGAAACAAGUAGAAUGGAGCACAGUUUCCUAGUGAUAGCAUAUUAGCUUAUUAAGCCUCUGGUUAAGACAAAAAAAAAAAAAAGGAAGGAAAGGAGACAGAGAGAGAGAAAACGACAAUCUUUAGAUUUACUGAAAAUGUGGGAUCACAUUCUUUGUUUAAAAAAAAAAUCAAGCUUUUAUACUUGGUCAAAAGUUGCUCUGGAAUCCAAACAGGCCUGUCUCAUUUUAAGAGCACUUGAGCAUCACCAUUUUUACUUGGAUGCACAUCUGGGCCAUUCCUUGGUCGUUUGUGCAUCAUGGACAGGUUUAACUGAUAAGCUAAAAGUAGUUCUCAAGAUUCAGAUGGCAAAUAGCCAUCAUCACACUGUUUAGGAAGCUGCAUUCACAGAUGACAUACGUAGCAUCAGGUCUGGCUUGAACCUUGCCAUGUGUAGGAAUCUGCCACAGUGCACGCGGAGGAUCCUCUCUCUGUGAAGCUUGUAUGGGCAGUGAAAUCAAAACUAUCAGGGGUCUUGGGAGAUGCGGCAGGCAGAAAAGGAUAGCAGAGGGGCGCAGGUCCGCUCUCUGUUCUAUGGAAUCCUUCCUGCCAGGAAAGUCUUUAUCCAGGUGAGAUGAAGGUGUAGGGAUUCCAGAACCUGAAAGCAUUUUGGAACUGGCUCUGAGCAUCCGAUCCAGAUGCGCUUGGCCCCUAAGAGGGGAGACCUGCCCUGCCUAAGUGCGUGGGUCUGGCCCCAACCAUACAAACGGGUGGAGGCUGGAUCAAGGUCCCUGCCUUCACCAAGUGGCCUCCAACAACCCUCGUUCUCCCGUUGUCCCGCGAGGGCUUGGAGGCCCUGGCUCUGGGUGGUCGGGCCGUCUCAGGCGGUUCCGAAGUCCCGCUGUCCUCCUCCCCUCCAAAGAGGACCUGAACCCCGCUAUCCGUGCUACUCGUGGUGUCCUAGUGAAACGAGGGCGCAAACGCGCCCGACGUGCCUUGGCGACCUGGGCGGCACCGCGCCCUGCUUCGCGCGUCCCGUCCCCGCCGUGCCCUCCGGGCCGUGCCCUGCCUGGAGCCAGCUGGGCCUCGUGGCUGAGCUGCCCUCUGUAUUUGUAUUUGGAUUCCUACGUUUGUACUUCUACUACAAAUAAAUGCACAUGUUGUCA